RNAcentral lists this ribosomal RNA (476 nucleotides) under uncultured bacterium. RNAcentral describes it as "bacterial SSU rRNA". It matches the Rfam family "Bacterial small subunit ribosomal RNA", at positions 29 to 506 of the family's 1533-position model. The record is from RNAcentral.
ACGAACGUUGGCGGCGUGGAUUAGGCAUGCAAGUCGAACGAAGACGCUUUGGGUAGCAAUAUUUGAAGCGGACUGAGUGGCGAAAGGGGCAGUAAUGCGUGGGUAACCUACCCUGGGGAUGGGCAUAGCCGGACUAACGUCCGGGUAAUUCCCAGCGAUGUGACGAGGGGACAUCCCCUUGUCACCAAAUGGACUCCGCCCUGGGAGGGGCUCACGUCGUAUUAGCUUGUUGGCGGGGUAACGGCCCACCAAGGCUAAGAUGCGUAGCGGGUGUGAGAGCACGACCCGCGCCACUGGCACUGAGACACUGGCCAGACACCUACGGGUGGCUGCAGUCGAGGAUCUUUGGCAAUGGGCGCAAGCCUGACCAAGCGACGCCGCGUGUGCGAUGAAGGCCUUCGGGUUGUAAAGCACUGUCGAGGGGGAUAAAACCGCAAGGUUGAUAGAUCCCUGGAGGAAGCACGGGCUAAGUUCGU